GUGUCGUUGGUCUUGUUAGGUCGCUUGAGUAGCGUGCUCGUAGUCGUCGUCGUCUCUCUCCGUCCUUCUCGCCGGCCGCCCGCUCUACCGCGUCCUCCCGGACUCCGACCACACGGGGGGCCACAGCCGCGUGCUCCCCGCCGACGGCGCCGUCAUGUGUGACCUCCCCGUCCCGCGCUUCUUCCUGUAGAGCGGCGGCGACCUCACCAUGCCCCACGGGCUGCCGUGCGCCAGCGACCGCCACCACCACGUCCUGUAGCUGCGCCUGCUCGCCCACGGCACCUGCGUGACCCACCACCGGUUGUAGAGCGGGCUCCUCUUCCCCGACGGGCUCCCGAAGAGGCCGCGGCCCCCGUUGCGGUUGCGGCCGUCGCCGCGUCCGCCGCAGGUCCUCCCCCAGUUGCUGACCUUCGUCGGGCCCACCGCGCCGGGGCAGGGCCUGAGGGUGCCAGUGGCGUAGGUCAAGGCCGAGAUGCGCGAGCUGCUGCACGAGUCGGAGCCGUUGUUCCACUGACACCUGUUCCAGUACCUCCGGUAGCUCCCCGUGCACGAGCCCCUCCGGCUCUAGUGCGGCCCAUGACAGCGUACU
Molecule: ribosomal RNA, 589 nt
Filed under: Triticum aestivum (bread wheat)
Lineage: Eukaryota; Viridiplantae; Streptophyta; Magnoliopsida; Poales; Poaceae
Description: partial small subunit ribosomal RNA
Source: RNAcentral